RNAcentral lists this ribosomal RNA (383 nucleotides) under uncultured bacterium. Its description in RNAcentral is "bacterial SSU rRNA". It matches the Rfam family "Bacterial small subunit ribosomal RNA", at positions 29 to 410 of the family's 1533-position model. The record is from RNAcentral.
AUUGAACGCUGGCGGAAUGCUUUACACAUGCAAGUCGAACGGCAGCACGGGGGCAACCCUGGUGGCGAGUGGCGAACGGGUGAGUAAUACAUCGGAACGUGCCCAAUCGUGGGGGAUAACGUAGCGAAAGCUACGCUAAUACCGCAUACGAUCUACGGAUGAAAGCGGGGGAUCGCAAGACCUCGCGCGAAUGGAGCGGCCGAUGGCAGAUUAGGUAGUUGGUGGGGGUAAAAGGCUCACCAAGCCGACGAUCUGUAGCUGGUCUGAGAGGACGACCAGCCACACUGGGACUGAGACACGGCCCAGACUCCUACGGGAGGCAGCAGUGGGGAAUUUUGGGACAAUGGGCGCAAGCCUGAUCCAGCCAUUCCGCGUGCAGGAUG